CAUUAGAUGGCUGAAGUGUAAGUAAUGGUCUCUUAAACCAUAUAAUAGUAUAUUAAACAAUUACUUCUAAUG
This 72-nucleotide transfer RNA is filed under the name Elateroidea sp. 3 KM-2017. RNAcentral describes it as "tRNA-Lys". The record is from RNAcentral. Lineage: Eukaryota; Metazoa; Arthropoda; Insecta; Coleoptera.